RNAcentral lists this ribosomal RNA (301 nucleotides) under uncultured bacterium. RNAcentral's name for it is "partial 16S ribosomal RNA". It matches the Rfam family "Bacterial small subunit ribosomal RNA", at positions 509 to 807 of the family's 1533-position model. The record is from RNAcentral.
CAGUCGCCGCGGUAAUACAGAGGGUGCGAGCGUUAAUCGGAUUUACUGGGCGUAAAGCGUGCGUAGGCGGCUUCUUAAGUCGGAUGUGAAAUCCCUGAGCUUAACUUAGGAAUUGCAUUCGAUACUGGGAAGCUAGAGUAUGGGAGAGGAUGGUAGAAUUCCAGGUGUAGCGGUGAAAUGCGUAGAGAUCUAGAGGAAUACCGAUGGCGAAGGCAGCCAUCUGGCCUAAUACUGACGCUGAGGUACGAAAGCAUGGGGAGCAAACAGGAUUAGAUACCCCUGUAGUCCCUGUCUCUUAUAC